ACGAACGCUGGCGGCGUGCCUCACCCCUGCCAGUCGAACGGAACUGUUUUGAAAGAUUUCUUCGGAAUGAAUUUGAUUUAGUUUAGUGGCGGACGGGUGAGUAACGCGUGAGUAACCUGCCUUCAAGAGGGGAAUAACAUUCUGAAAAGAAUGCUAAUACCGCAUGACAUAUCGGAACCACAUGGUUUUGAUAUCAAAGAUUUUAUCGCUUGAAGAUGGACUCGCGUCCGAUUAGUUAGUUGGUGAGGUAACGGCUCACCAAGACCGCGAUCGGUAGCCGGACUGAGAGGUUGAACGGCCACAUUGGGACUGAGACACGGCCCAGACUCCUACGGGAGGCAGCAGUGGGGGAUAUUGCGCAAUGGGGGCAACCCUGACGCAGCAACGCCGCGUGAAGGAUGAAGGUUUUCGGAUUGUAAACUUCUUUUAUUAAGGACGAAAAAUGACGGUACUUAAUGAAUAAGCUCCGGCUAACUACGUG
This 481-nucleotide ribosomal RNA is filed under the name uncultured bacterium. RNAcentral's name for it is "partial 16S ribosomal RNA". It matches the Rfam family "Bacterial small subunit ribosomal RNA", at positions 29 to 507 of the family's 1533-position model. The record is from RNAcentral.